RNAcentral lists this ribosomal RNA (292 nucleotides) under uncultured bacterium. Its description in RNAcentral is "partial 16S ribosomal RNA". It matches the Rfam family "Bacterial small subunit ribosomal RNA", at positions 505 to 796 of the family's 1533-position model. The record is from RNAcentral.
GUGCCAGCCGCCGCGGUAAUACGAAGGGUGCAAGCGUUACUCGGAAUUACUGGGCGUAAAGCGUGCGUAGGUGGUUGUUUAAGUCCGUUGUGAAAGCCCUGGGCUCAACCUGGGAAUUGCAGUGGAUACUGGGCAACUAGAGUGUGGUAGAGGAUGGCGGAAUUCCCGGUGUAGCAGUGAAAUGCGUAGAGAUCGGGAGGAACAUCUGUGGCGAAGGCGGCCAUCUGGACCAACACUGACACUGAGGCACGAAAGCGUGGGGAGCAAACAGGAUUAGAAACCCGGGUAGUCC